UCACACCCAAAUAAGAAAAACAAGAGCAAAUUAAGUAAAAACUAUAUUGGAGAGGAUCUAUUACCAUUUGAUGUCCAAUAUGCUCAAUAUUACUAGCAAUCAACCACCAGGGGCUAUUCUUUCUAGUUUUUUUUCAGCUAUUUGAUAUCCCUAAAACCCAGUGAACCCCGUCUUCCCGUCAUUUCCCUUCUCUGGCUGGUUCACUCUUUGCCUUUGCUUGGACCUCCAUUUGGUGCCUUAACCUUCCCACAAGAUGCAUAUUUUGAGAUCAUUGUUUUUGUUGCCCUAUCUUCUCUCGCUCGUUAUCUGGUUUUCGCUCGCUCCCUCUUGUAGCUACUUGGGUUUCCAUUCCACUGCUUCUGAAUACCUCAAUGGUAUUGUAGCACGCUGCCCUUCCCCCGACCUAAAAAAAAACUAUAAAGAUUUGAUGCAGGAAGAAAAUAACAUGGGAAUAAUAAUAAUAGAAAAAAUAAAAUGUUAAGGGAAUAUACCCUCUCUCGAAGAAUCCACCCUAAAAAUAAUAUCUCCAUGAAGCCAAAU
Molecule: long non-coding RNA, 540 nt
Filed under: Amborella trichopoda
Lineage: Eukaryota; Viridiplantae; Streptophyta; Magnoliopsida; Amborellales; Amborellaceae
Description: long non-coding RNA (ATRI_LNC003136)
Source: RNAcentral